This 271-nucleotide ribosomal RNA is filed under the name uncultured bacterium. Its description in RNAcentral is "partial 16S ribosomal RNA". It matches the Rfam family "Bacterial small subunit ribosomal RNA", at positions 524 to 794 of the family's 1533-position model. The record is from RNAcentral.
UACGUAGGCAGCAAGCGUUGUUCGGAAUUACUGGGCGUAAAGAGUGUGUAGGUGGUGUCGUAAGUUUGGUGUGAAAUCUCCCGGCUUAACUGGGAGGGUGCGCCGAAGACUGCGAUGCUGGAGUAUGGGAGAGGAAAGCGGAAUUCCUGGUGUAGCGGUGAAAUGCGUAGAUAUCAGGAGGAACACCUGCGGUGUAGACGGCUUUCUGGACCAUUACUGACACUGAGACACGAAAGCGUGGGUAGCAAACAGGAUUAGAAACCCUAGUAGU